UGUAUGCUGAUGAAACCCAUGCGUGUCAACUGACUCUGUCCGCCUCUGCUGUGGCGUUGCUCUGGUCGGCGUUUUGCUGGCUGAAGUUUUCGCCACAUCGGGGACCCAGAGACAUGAUCACACUCAUGAUCCUGAAUACA
This is a small nucleolar RNA of Oryzias javanicus (javanese ricefish), 140 nucleotides long. Ensembl annotates it as small nucleolar RNA, C/D box 10. Its record names the gene SNORD10. Lineage: Eukaryota; Metazoa; Chordata; Actinopteri; Beloniformes; Adrianichthyidae. The record is from Ensembl.